Molecule: long non-coding RNA, 2893 nt
Filed under: Mus musculus (house mouse)
Lineage: Eukaryota; Metazoa; Chordata; Mammalia; Rodentia; Muridae
Description: long non-coding RNA chr5:14611651-14614544
Source: RNAcentral
AAAAAGAAUUAAAGUAAAAGAGUCCCAUAUCUUGAUUUAAAGCUUAAUGUAAAGCAACCAUACUCAGGAUAAUGUGAUAAAAUAUGCAGGGUACACAUAAAGACAAUUAAUAAUAGAGUACAAAAUUAAACUCAGUCACCUGUAGUCAACUCAUACUUUUUUUUUAUGUGUAUAAAGUUACAUUUGUUUAAUGUACUUCCAAUAGCAUAUUGAAUUUUUUAAUAAGGGUCCUACAUCUUCAUUUUUCACUGAACUCACAAACUAUGUAGCCAGUGCUAUAUUUUAUCAUAUAUAAAUGGAGAGAUGUAGAGCAGAGUUCUUCCUAAGUGCCAUAUCACACUGUGCAGCCAGGCAUUUGAUUCCAUUUUAAUAUAUUUUUUUUAAUUAGGUAUUUUCCUCAUUUACAUUUCCAAUGCUAUCCCAAAAGUCCCCCACCCACUCCCCUACCUACCCACUCCCACUUUUUGGCCCUGGCGUUUCCCUGUACUGAGGCAUAUAAAGUUUGCAAGUCUAAUGGGCCUCUCUUUCCAGUGAUGGCUGACUAGGCCAUCUUUUGAUACAUAUGCAGCUAGAGUGAAGAGCUCCGGGGUACUUCUUAGUUCAUAAUGUUGUUCUACCUAUAGGGUUGCAGAUCCCUUUAGCUCCUUGGGUACUUUCUCUAGCUCCUCCAUUGGGGGCCCUGUGAUCCAUCCAAUAACUGACUGUGAGCAUCCACUUCUGUGUUUGCUAGGCCCCGGCAUAGUCUCACAAGACACAGCUAUAUCUGGGUCCUUUCAGUAAAAUCUUGCUAGAAUAUGCAAUGGUGUCAGCGUUUGGAAGCUGAUUAUGGGAUGCAACCCUGAAUAUGGCAGGCUCUAGAUGGUCCAUCCUUUUGACACAAUUCCAAGCUUUGUCUCUGUAACUCCUUCCAUGGGUGUUUUGUUCCCAAUUCUAAGAAGGGGCAAAGUGUACACACUUUGGUCUUCGUUCUUCUUGAGUUUCAUGCAUUUAGCAAAUUGUAUCUUAUAUCUUGGGUAUCCUAAGUUUAUGGGCUAAUAUCCACUUAUCAGUGAGUACAUAUGGUGUGCGUUGCUUUGUGAUUGGGUUACCUGACUCAGGAUGAUACCCUCCAGGUCCAUCCAUUUGGCUAGGAAUUUCAUAAAUUCAUUCUUUUUAAUAGCUGAGUAGUACUCCAUUGUGUAAAUGCACCACAUUUUCUGUAUCCAUUCCUCUGUUGAGGGGCAUCUGGGUUCUUUCCAGCUUCUGGCUAUUAUAAAUAAGGCUGCUAUGAACAUAGUGGAGCAUGUGUCCUUCUUACCGGUUGGAACAUCUUCUGGAUAUAUGCCCAGGAGAGGUAUUGCAGAAUCCUCUGGUAGUACUAUAUCCAGUUUUCUGAGGAACCGCCAGACUGAUUUCCAGAGUGGUUGUACAAGCUUGCAAUCCCACCAACAAUGGAGGAGUGUUCCUCUUUCUCCACAUCCUCGCCAGCAUCUGCUGUCACCUGAAUUUUUGAUCUUAGCCAUUCUGACUGGUGUGAGGUGGAAUCUCAGGGUUGUUUUGAUUUGCAUUUCUCUGAUGAUUAAGGAUGCUGAACAUUUUUUUCAGGUGCUUCUCAGCCAUUCAGUAUUCCUCAGGUAAGAAUUCUUUGUGUAGCUCUGAGCCCCAUUUUUAAUGGGGUUAUUUGAUUUUCUGAAGUCCACCUUCUUGAGUUCUUUAUAUAUAUUGGAUAUUAGUCCCCUAUCUGAUUUAGGAUAGGUAAAGAUCCUUUCCCAAUCUUUUGGUGGUCUUUUUGUCUUAUUGACGGUGUCUUUUGCCUUGCAGAAGCUUUGGAGUUUCAUGAGGUCCCAUUUGUCUGUCAAUUCUCGAUCUUGCAGCACAAGCCAUUGCUGUUCUAUUCAGGAAUUUUUCCCCUGUACCCAUAUCUUCGAGGCUUUUCCCUACUUUCUCCUCAAUAAGUUUCAGUGUCUCUGGUUUUAUGUGGAGUUCCUUAAUCCACUUAGAUUUGACCUUAGUACAAGGAGAUAGGAAUGGAUCAAUUCACAUUCUUCUACAUGAUAACCGCCGGUUGUGCCAGCACCAUUUGUUGAAAAUGCUGUCUGUUUUCCACUGGAUGGUUUUUGAUCCCUUGUCAAAGAUCAAGUGACCAUAGGUGUGUGGGUUCAUUUCUGGGUCUUCAAUUCUAUUCCAUUGGUCUACUUGUCUGUCGCUAUACCAGUAUCUCCAAAAUAGACCACAUAAUUGGACACAAAACAAGCCUCAACAAAUAUAAAAAUAUAGAAAUCGUCCCAUGCAUCCUAUCAGAUCACCAUGGACUAAGGCUGAUCUUCAAUAACAAAAUAAAUAAUAGAAAGCCAACAUUCAUGUGGAAACUGAACAACACUCUCCUCAAUGAUACCUUGGUCAAGGAAGGAAUAAAGAAAGAAAUUAAGGACUUUUUGGAGUUUAAUGAAAAUGAAGCCACAACAUACCCAAACUUAUGGGACACAAUGAAAGCAUUUCUAAGAGGAAAACUCAUAGCUCUGAGUGCCUCCAAAAAGAAACUAGAGAGAGCACACAUUAUCAGCUUGACAACACACCUAAAAGCUCUAGAACAAAAGAAAGCAAAUUCACCCAAGAGGAGUAGACGGCAGGAAAUAAUCAAACUCAGGGGCAAAAUCAACCAAGUGGAAACAAGAAGAGCUAGUCAACUCAUACUUGACAAGAGUGCCAGGGCAGUUCAACAGGACAUCCAUUUUAAAAGAAUAUAGUGAAACUCAUGGAUACCUACAUGAGAAGAAAGAAAAUUGGAACUUUACGUGUUAAAAUUAUACUCUCAAUGGGCAAAAGUCUUGGGAAGAAAACAAAAUCUAAAAGGAAAAUACAAGUAGGACUUUUGAGAUGUGUUUGUAGCUAUGACUCCUUAUUCAUAAGUAUC